RNAcentral lists this ribosomal RNA (463 nucleotides) under Flavobacterium sp. RNAcentral's name for it is "bacterial SSU rRNA". It matches the Rfam family "Bacterial small subunit ribosomal RNA", at positions 400 to 865 of the family's 1533-position model. Lineage: Bacteria; Pseudomonadati; Bacteroidota; Flavobacteriia; Flavobacteriales; Flavobacteriaceae. The record is from RNAcentral.
CGUGCAGGAUGACGGUCCUAUGGAUUGUAAACUGCUUUUGUACAGGAAGAAACAGUUCUACGUGUAGAACCUUGACGGUACUGUAAGAAUAAGGAUCGGCUAACUCCGUGCCAGCAGCCGCGGUAAUACGGAGGAUCCAAGCGUUAUCCGGAAUCAUUGGGUUUAAAGGGUCCGUAGGCGGUUUAGUAAGUCAGUGGUGAAAGCCCAUCGCUCAACGGUGGAACGGCCAUUGAUACUGCUAAACUUGAAUUAUUAGGAAGUAACUAGAAUAUGUAGUGUAGCGGUGAAAUGCUUAGAGAUUACAUGGAAUACCAAUUGCGAAGGCAGGUUACUACUAAUGGAUUGACGCUGAUGGACGAAAGCGUGGGUAGCGAACAGGAUUAGAUACCCUGGUAGUCCACGCCGUAAACGAUGGAUACUAGCUGUUGGAAGCAAUUUCAGUGGCUAAGCGAAAGUGAUAAGU